UACGAAGGGGGCUAGCGUUGCUCGGAAUUACUGGGCGUAAAGGGCGCGUAGGCGGAUGUUUAAGUCGGGGGUGAAAGCCCAGGGCUCAACCCUGGAAUUGCCUUCGAUACUGGACAUCUUGAGUACGGGAGAGGUGAGUGGAACUCCGAGUGUAGAGGUGAAAUUCGUAGAUAUUCGGAAGAACACCAGUGGCGAAGGCGACUCACUGGCCGUUACUGACGCUCAGGCGCGACAGCGUGGGGGAUCAAAACAGG
RNAcentral lists this ribosomal RNA (254 nucleotides) under uncultured bacterium. RNAcentral describes it as "partial 16S ribosomal RNA". It matches the Rfam family "Bacterial small subunit ribosomal RNA", at positions 524 to 776 of the family's 1533-position model. The record is from RNAcentral.